GCACUGCCCGGCCGCAGUCUCCUGCCGCUCUGUUUGUUUUCUGUCUCACUUCACUAAAUGCCUCCUAAUUUUUUCCACAAAGAGACAGUGCCUGCCAAGGGCAGCAGUCAUUACAGCUGGAAACACUUCCAGCUGCUGGCUGUCACAAAGAGCCCUACAACAAACAGAAAAGGUUACACGAACCAACACCAGCAACAGGUGGCAACCCUGCUCCCACUUGCGGAGAGCUGCCCUACCCGAUGGGACUGAGAACAGAUGCCACUCUUCCAGCUGGCACAGCACAGCUCCAACCCCCACUCCCACAGGAGUCUGCUGGUGUUUAGCCCAGGCACCAAUUUGGUGGCUGCACGUCCCAAAGGACACAGAAAGGAAGGAGCAAUGUGGGGCUUUGGCCUAAGGACAUCCCUUUUGUUCCUGGGCAUAGAGGAGUCUGUCUUAACCCCACCGAAGUGAUGUGUAAGCAGAAGCAGCAAGACCACAAAAGUGGGCAUAACAAACCAUAAGCUCAAACAUUUGAGCAGGUUCAAAGAGAUGGCACAGUUUUAAUUGCCCAUUCAUGACACACAAAGGCUGUGACAGAUGCUAAGUGACACCCUCAGUGGCCAUGUGCAGCCCCAUUGCCAGCCAAGCCCUGGGAGGUGACUGCAGGGCCAGCUGUCACCAAAACCGCCUAACCUCUGCAGAAAAACCCGCAUUGCAGGACAGCCACACCUGCAAUCAGGCAUUUGUCACCUGCAUUUGGACACUUCCCUACCUCUCCCUUUCCCCACAUCGCUUUUUCCUGCUGUCUUUGCCAAGAGUGAGCACAAUGCAUGCUUAAAUUCCCACUCAACAAUUCCCUGUUGCCACGUAGGCAUGCUAUGGCAUCAUGGAAUUUUAAAAGAAAAACCAUGUAGAAGUGUCCUGGCAGGCCAUAGCCAAGGGGUUGCCAGCAGAUUCACUGCUAAGCACCUCAUGUCCUCCUGACACCACUUGUCAGGGGAUCACUUUGCAGGGAUACUGUCAGUACUUCCCUCAAGCAUGGCCAAGAUGGGACAGGACCAGUUGCCUCACCAGCCCUUCACCCCAUCCCCUACGUCCACUUGCAACACCAGAGUUCUCCUGUCAGGAAGGCUGAUCCAGGGGCCCCUUGAGGUUUAUCUGCAGGCACAGAACAAGCCCAGCACAGGUAUGUAGGCCACAUGAAACCUUGGUGUCCGUGACUCAGCUGGAAGAUAGGGAACACUUACGAGGCUGCCUGCUUCAUGAGAUCUCAUAUGCGUGCCUGAACUCUGACCACGCUGCUUGCAGAUCCUCCUACCUUGUACCGAGGCGCAGGGAAUUCCACCUCCACCUUCAGUCACCUGCUUGAGGACACACGCUUGUAUUUCACAACACAGAUGAGUGUGCACUGUUGUGAACCACCACUGUGGUGCUGAGACAAAAACAAGCCCUCCCAAAACAAGGGUAGGCACAUGCCUUGAGUCAAAGCUCCAUCAGAGGGCAAAAGCAGAUGCUAGGAAAGACUAAAUGUUUUUUUACUUGGGUACAGCUAUGGACUGACUGUUCCCCAGCCUCCAAGCUGGAAGGCUCAUGAUGUUCGUGUGUUUUGCAGCCAUGGUGGCUUUCACUUCUGUGAAGUCCUGCUUCCCCUUUCAACUCAGGAGCUCCUGAGAGGGGGUAGCAGCUCCCCCCACAUGCAGGGCCUCACCCUUGCCUUCAACAUCAAAGGGUGGAUGAACACUGGAGUGGCUGCUUUACAGACCAGGAUUGUAUCCACCCAACAGCACAUUUUCCAAAUAGAAAUUCUAGCUCACUUAGUCAUUCAGGCAUGGCUCCAUGGCUUCAGUCCUCCUUGUUGCUUUUCCCCAAACCUUCCCCAGCUCCUCUAAUCCUUCCAGAGAUGCUGGUGCUGGGGGCACACAGGGACUGUGUGGGGGGGUGAGACACCAAUUUGAAGAGUGGCACAAAGCUUUCCUGCUUUGUUUCUGCUUUGUAACUGGGAAAGAUAAUUUAAUGUGCUUUUUCACGCACACUGAGCUAUCUAAAAUAGCCCCAGGCCUUGCUGUGAGUGGCCAGCUCAUGGCUGGCUCUGUUAAUAAUCUUGUUUGUGAAUUUGGGGCUUCCUCCCUUCCCCCCUUGUCUAUCACUUGAUAUUUAUCUAAACUGAAUUUCAGUUGCCUGGUGUUGUAAUGGCUGUCAGUACUCCUCCUAGCUGGCACUUGUCCCCAUGAACCUAAGUAAUCCAAUCACCUCAGCAAAGCCCUGUCAUCUCAUUGCUCAUUCUCUUUUCCAGGUCACUCAUAAAUGUGUUGAAAAAACAUGUGACCAGUGCAAAGAUCUCUUUUCACUGAAAAAACUGACUGCUGACUCCUACACCUCCUUCCUGUUUUCAUAAUAAUUAUGGAGCCAAGUAAGCACUUUCCCUCUUGACCAGCAAGUUCCCUUAAAAACUGGGCUGAAAGCCGACUGGAAGUUUUUGGGGGCAGCAGUGUGGACACUCUGAGCCCAGACUCCGUAGGAACUGCUACUCCAGUCCUGGGGGCCCCUCCACAGGAGCCUUCCCACCUGCCCACAGGCCCUGUCCUGCACAGACACCCAGGACGUGCAGCAGAUUCAACAGUCAUCUUUUCCCUUGAGUUCCUUCAGCCCUUCUUAGAAAAGAACGUCAUAUUUUUCCCUCCUCCCAGUCCCUGGAGGCUGGAGCAGUUGGAAAUGAAUGACUAGAGGCCACACAUCAUAACCAGCUGCUUCACCCUCCCUUUCCUUCUGGGGAAAAUUGCCUUGCCCAAGACACUUGCUGCUGUUUACCUUUGCUUUCUAACCUUUCCUCUGCAGAUGCUCUGAGGAGCUCCCUAAAGGAAGGUGGAAGAAACUGCUUAGGCUCUAGUAGAGCUAACAGAGAGAUAACAGCCUUGUGAUGCCAUCUCCUCUUCCAGCCCUACUCCUUGCCUGCGUCCUGAGGAGAGAACUUAGCAGGAGAGCAGGAGGUAGCAGGCAGAAGACCUGGAGCGAGCAAGACACCAUGGGGUGAAGAAGGCUAAGUCUGGAAGGCAGUGAGUGUCCUUCAAAACCCAGCCCUGGCUGCUGCAGGGCAGGAGACAUUUUGCCCAGAAUUCUCUUCCCCGUAGAGGCACUUCAGCCCCUCAGGGAGCACGGCUGCUCCCAAGAGCGACGCAAGUCCUUGGGUUGUGUAAUGUCAGUGGCAGCUUGCAGUUCCAGAGGGGUGACACCUCCUCUACAGUGCAUGGAAAGGUAACAAAUUGCACUCGUUUAUUGCCCCACAAACAUGAGCCCUUGCUGCAGGGCCAAGUGGCCUUGCUUCAUCUUGGUAAAGGUGUUGUGUUUGAAGAACCCUCUGCUCCCAAGUGACUCAUGUUAUCAUCUUCACCUCUGCGUGUACAAUAACAAACCUCCUAGAAAAAGCACACAGCUACGAAAACAGUCUGUGCUCCAAACUGGAAACAGCUGUGCUUUGCCCAGCACUGGUCCUGGGCCCACCACUGUAUGACCCACAGAGCUAGAUGUUUCUCCCUUGUGUAAUUCAGCCAAGGAGGAAAGGCAGCCUCGAGUGGGGCCCGGGGGCUUGCUGUGCUCCCACCCUCUCCAUCCCCAAAGCAGCAGCACAGCGCCAAAACACGCUGCUGCUGUUGGCAGAUUGCUGCACUCCCCAAAGCAAAGGGAGGAAGGCAGCCAGCAAAGCCUCUCUCUUACAUAAGGCUGGGAGUCCCAUGGACAUGCUUUCCAGAGCACACUUGUGGGGCUGAAGCUGCCCAGCCCUUUGAGUUUUCUUUCUGGAAACUCGAACGUGCACUACAGGCGAUGCUGUCACCUGGAGCCCAGUUUUUGUAUGCUCUGGUCACAGCUAGUUUGUAACAGGCAGAACAAACAGGCGAAGUGCUCUCCCUUCAGUGACACUUGCUGCCAAACCUUUCACAAAAGCUGCCUUUUUUUUUUUUUUCCCCUCCUUCUUUGUAGCAAUUCCCUGCUUCAACUAAAGCUAUGAAAUCCAAAAGGGGAAAACAAACAAACAGCUGGUUUGGAAAGCAAGAGCAAAAAGGGAGAUUUAUUCCAGGCAGUGGAUAAUGCAUCAUAGAAGCUAAAAGAGUAUUUUUGGUGCCUCUUGGGCAAUAUCUGAGUUUUAGGCUGCAUUUGCAGGCACUUAAUGUUUCCAGAAUCCUUUACACUUGGCACCCACGUCGACCGUUUUCCUUGGAGAUUUGCAAGCACUUUGCAACCAUACAUUAAUUAACCCACCAGCCCUCCUCUGCAAUGAGGUUUCCCUUUCCCUGUAAUUUGCCUGUACUAGGGACAGGGUAAACUGAGGCAUGGCAAGGCCAUCAGCCUGCAGCAGAGCUGAGGCCAGGGGGCUGCAUGCCAUCCAGGUCUCCUUUCCAUUGCAAAACCACCCUUCCCUUUGCAAGCAUGACCCACAGCGACUGCGUUUCCCUCCGCUGGAUGCUGCCUGCCCCAUUCCAGAGGAAGGCACGGGCAGGUCAGCUCACAGAGCCUCUGUGCUGGCCCUCGGUGCCACUGAGCAGAGAAACAGAGAGCCAGUGUGUCUGAAAGGCAGAGCAGGCAGGCAGGAGUGGAAUGGCAAGCAGAUUAGCAGCUGUCCCAUUGCCUGCAUGUGUGACAAGGCAGCCGUAUGGGGAAAGGGGGAAAAGGGGCAUUUUAAUCAGUCACAUGGAGAGAAACAUAGUCAAGUACCAGCAGGUUAUUAAUCUAUUAGCCAAUGGGGGCAAAAAUCCUACUACAGGCUUUUGGUAAUCCAGUUAUGACAAGACUACAGCGAUCAUGGAUGCUUUGAUAAUCAACAAAGCAUCUCAGCCUGUUGCUGAGGCCAGCGAAUGGCUUGGGGAUGGAUCGUUUUAGUUUUGCUAUUCCCUUGCUGGUCCUGACUGACCCUGGAGCAAGGUUCUGGCUGAACAGCUGCUGGCAGACGUUUUUGGGGUGGGAGAUCUCUCCAGUCAUUGCUUGCAGGACUCCUGAUGGUGAUCCCUGGGCUCUUGGUGCCCUGCC
Catharus ustulatus (Swainson's thrush) is the source of this 5001-nucleotide long non-coding RNA. RefSeq lists it as uncharacterized. The transcript has 3 exons. The record is from RefSeq and is a predicted model, not a curated record. Lineage: Eukaryota; Metazoa; Chordata; Aves; Passeriformes; Turdidae.